RNAcentral lists this ribosomal RNA (545 nucleotides) under uncultured low G+C Gram-positive bacterium. Its description in RNAcentral is "bacterial SSU rRNA". It matches the Rfam family "Bacterial small subunit ribosomal RNA", at positions 266 to 829 of the family's 1533-position model. Lineage: Bacteria; Bacillati; Bacillota. The record is from RNAcentral.
UAGCUCAGGCACGAUGGGUAGCCGGCCUGAGAGGGUGACGGCCACACUGGAACUGAGACACGGUCCAGACUCCUACGGGAGGCAGCAGUGGGGAAUAUUGCACAAUGGGCGAAAGCCUGAUGCAGCGACGCCGCGUGAGCGACGAAGGCCUUCGGGUCGUAAAGCUCUGUCCUAAGGGAAGAAUAAUGACGGUACCUUAGGAGGAAGCACCGGCUAACUACGUGCCAGCAGCCGCGGUAAUACGUAGGGUGCAAGCGUUGUCCGGAAUUAUUGGGCGUAAAGGGUGCGUAGGCGGCCAAUUAAGUCAGAGGUUAAAGGCCUCGGCUCAACCGAGGUAUGCCUUUGAAACUGAUUGGCUUGAGCGCAGGAGAGGAGAGCGGAAUUCCUAGUGUAGCGGUGAAAUGCGUAGAUAUUAGGAAGAACACCAGUGGCGAAGGCGGCUCUCUGGACUGUAGCUGACGCUGAGGCACGAAAGCGUGGGGAGCAAACAGGAUUAGAUACCCUGGUAGUCCACGCCGUAAACGAUGGAUGCUAGAUGGCCGGAG